GGGCGAUUGGCUCAGUGGUAGAGCACUCGCUUCACACGCGAGGGGUCACUGGUUCGAACCCAGUAUCGCCCACC
Molecule: transfer RNA, 74 nt
Filed under: Actinomycetes bacterium
Lineage: Bacteria; Bacillati; Actinomycetota; Actinomycetes
Also listed under: 2 other names
Description: tRNA-Val
Rfam family: tRNA
About the family: Transfer RNA (tRNA) molecules are approximately 80 nucleotides in length. Their secondary structure includes four short double-helical elements and three loops (D, anti-codon, and T loops).
Source: RNAcentral